GACGAACGCUGGCGGCGUGCCUAAUACAUGCAAGUCGAACGCUGAAGGAGGAGCUUGCUUCUCCGGAUGAGUUGCGAACGGGUGAGUAACGCGUAGGUAACCUGCCUGGUAGCGGGGGAUAACUAUUGGAAACGAUAGCUAAUACCGCAUAAGAGUAGAUGUUGCAUGACAUUUGCUUAAAAGGUGCAAUUGCAUCACUACCAGAUGGACCUGCGUUGUAUUAGCUAGUUGGUGGGGUAACGGCUCACAAAGGCGACGAUACAUAGCCGACCUGAGAGGGGGAUCGGCCACACGGGGACUGAGACCCGGCCCAGACGCCUACGGGAGGCCGCAAUAGGGAAUCUUCGGCCAUGGACGGAAGUCUGACCGAGCAACGCCGCGUGAGUGAAGAAGGUUUUCGGAUCGUAAAGCUCGGUUGUAAGAGAAGAACGAGUGUGAGAGUGGAAAGUUCACACUGUGACGGUAUCUGACCAGAAAGGGACGGCUAACUACGUG
This 495-nucleotide ribosomal RNA is filed under the name uncultured bacterium. RNAcentral describes it as "partial 16S ribosomal RNA". It matches the Rfam family "Bacterial small subunit ribosomal RNA", at positions 28 to 507 of the family's 1533-position model. The record is from RNAcentral.